RNAcentral lists this ribosomal RNA (576 nucleotides) under uncultured bacterium. RNAcentral's name for it is "bacterial SSU rRNA". It matches the Rfam family "Bacterial small subunit ribosomal RNA", at positions 102 to 674 of the family's 1533-position model. The record is from RNAcentral.
ACGGGUGAGUAAUACAUCGGAACGUGCCCAAUCGUGGGGGAUAACGCAGCGAAAGCUGUGCUAAUACCGCAUACGAUCUACGGAUGAAAGCAGGGGAUCGCAAGACCUUGCGCGAAUGGAGCGGCCGAUGGCAGAUUAGGUAGUUGGUGAGGUAAAGGCUCACCAAGCCUUCGAUCUGUAGCUGGUCUGAGAGGACGACCAGCCACACUGGGACUGAGACACGGCCCAGACUCCUACGGGAGGCAGCAGUGGGGAAUUUUGGACAAUGGGCGAAAGCCUGAUCCAGCCAUGCCGCGUGCAGGAUGAAGGCCUUCGGGUUGUAAACUGCUUUUGUACGGAACGAAACGGUCUUUUCUAAUAAAGAAGGCUAAUGACGGUACCGUAAGAAUAAGCACCGGCUAACUACGUGCCAGCAGCCGCGGUAAUACGUAGGGUGCAAGCGUUAAUCGGAAUUACUGGGCGUAAAGCGUGCGCAGGCGGUGAUGUAAGACAGUUGUGAAAUCCCCGGGCUCAACCUGGGAACUGCAUCUGUGACUGCAUCGCUGGAGUACGGCAGAGGGGGAUGGAAUUCCGCGU